ACUUAAAUAGCUUAUUCAGAGAGCAUGAUAUUGAAGAUAUCAAGGAAAUAAUAUAUUUUUAAGU
This 64-nucleotide transfer RNA is filed under the name Cheironitis sp. MJTNT-2012. RNAcentral's name for it is "tRNA-Phe". The record is from RNAcentral. Lineage: Eukaryota; Metazoa; Arthropoda; Insecta; Coleoptera; Scarabaeidae.